RNAcentral lists this ribosomal RNA (497 nucleotides) under uncultured bacterium. Its description in RNAcentral is "partial 16S ribosomal RNA". It matches the Rfam family "Bacterial small subunit ribosomal RNA", at positions 28 to 507 of the family's 1533-position model. The record is from RNAcentral.
GAUGAACGCUGGCGGCGUGCCUAAUACAUGCAAGUCGAGCGAACGGACGAGAAGCUUGCUUCUCUGAUGUUGGCGGCGGACGGGUGAGUAACACGUGGAUAACCCACCUAUAAGACUGGGAUAACCUCGGGAAACCGGAGCUAAUACCGGAUGAUAUUUUGAUCCGCAGGGUUCAAAAGUGAAAUACGGUCUUUCUGGCUCUUAUAGCUGGUUCCGGGCUGCAUUGGCUAGUUGGUAAGGUAACGGCUUAUCAAGGCAACGAUGCAUAGCCGACCUGAGAGGGUGAUCGGCCACACUGGAGGUGAGACACGGUCCAGACUACUGCGGGAGGCAGCAGUAGGGAAUCUUCCGCAAUGGGCGAAAGCCUGGCGGAACAACGGGGCGUGUGUGGUAAAGGUCUUCGGAUCGUGAAGCUCUGUUAUGAGGGAAGAACAUAUGUGUAAGUAACUGUGCACAGCGUGACGGUACCUGAUCAGGAAGCCACGGCUAACUACGUG